GGAUAAAGAUACACUUUCACUGUGUCACACAGUGAAAAGGCAGCAGUCUAUGAGACAGAAGGUGGGCCUUCCCCAGGCACUGAAUCUGCCCACACCUUGACCUAGGACUUCCCAGCCUUCAGGACUGAGAUGAAUCCAAGGCUCACCUGUAAGAUCCAGACAGGACAAAUCUCCAGUCCGAGAUGAUGAACUUCUCCCGGAUUUGGCCAGCGAAUUUCCUGCCUGACUUGGCACAGUAUAUCUCUCCUUCCACACUCCGGAUGGAAAUGUUCUGUUGGAGGGAAAGUCAAGGUGUCACUUCCUAAUUCUGUUUAUAGAGAUACAUUUGGGCUUUAGGCUGGAUGUUUAUGUUCCCUUUACCCCCAUUCUGUGUUGAAACCUAAUCCCCAGGGUGACGGUACUAGAAGGUGGGGCCUUUGGGAGGAGAUUAGGUCAUGAAGAUGGAGUGCUCAUGAAUGGGAGGAGUGCCUUAUAAAGGAGGCCUAGAGAUCUGCCUCACUCCUUCUGCCAUGUGAGGACACAGCAAGAAGACAGCCAUUUAUAAGCCAGGAAGUGGGCUUCACCAGAUGCCGAAUCUGCCAGAACGUUGAUCUUGGAGUUCCCAGCCUCUAGAACCAUGACGAAUAAAUUUCUGUUGUUAUGAA
Long non-coding RNA from Pan troglodytes (chimpanzee), 644 nucleotides. RefSeq lists it as uncharacterized. NCBI's taxonomy places the organism in Eukaryota, Metazoa, Chordata, Mammalia, Primates, Hominidae. The record is from RefSeq and is a predicted model, not a curated record. The transcript is spliced from 2 exons.